This 301-nucleotide ribosomal RNA is filed under the name uncultured bacterium. RNAcentral describes it as "partial 16S ribosomal RNA". It matches the Rfam family "Bacterial small subunit ribosomal RNA", at positions 509 to 807 of the family's 1533-position model. The record is from RNAcentral.
CAGUAGCCACGGUAAUACGAAGGGGGCUAGCGUUGCUCGGAAUUACUGGGCGUAAAGGGAGCGUAGGCGGAUCGUUUAGUCAGGGGUGAAAUCCCGGGGCUCAACCUCGGAACUGCCUUUGAUACUGGCGAUCUUGAGUAUGGGAGAGGUGUGUGGAACUCCGAGUGUAGAGGUGAAAUUCGUAGAUAUUCGGAAGAACACCAGUGGCGAAGGCGACACACUGGCCCAUUACUGACGCUGAGGCUCGAAAGCGUGGGGAGCAAACAGGAUUAGAUACCCGCGUAGUCCCUGUCUCUUAUAC